CCCUACGGGGGCAGCAGUGAGGAAUAUUGGUCAAUGGGAGAGAUCCUGAACCAGCCAAGCCGCGUGAGGGAAGACGGCCCUAUGGGUUGUAAACCUCUUUUGUCGGAGAACAAAACCCGGGACGUGUCCCGGACUGCGUGUAUCCGAAGAAAAAGCAUCGGCUAACUCCGUGCCAGCAGCCGCGGUAAUACGGAGGAUGCGAGCGUUAUCCGGAUUUAUUGGGUUUAAAGGGUGCGCAGGUGGAUUUUUAAGUCAGCGGUCAAAUCGUGGGGCUCAACCCCAUCCAGCCGUUGAAACUGGGGAUC
RNAcentral lists this ribosomal RNA (305 nucleotides) under uncultured bacterium. RNAcentral's name for it is "bacterial SSU rRNA". It matches the Rfam family "Bacterial small subunit ribosomal RNA", at positions 335 to 641 of the family's 1533-position model. The record is from RNAcentral.